RNAcentral lists this ribosomal RNA (253 nucleotides) under uncultured bacterium. Its description in RNAcentral is "partial 16S ribosomal RNA". It matches the Rfam family "Bacterial small subunit ribosomal RNA", at positions 524 to 776 of the family's 1533-position model. The record is from RNAcentral.
UACGUAGGGGGCGAGCGUUGUCCGGAUUUAUUGGGCGUAAAGAGCUCGUAGGCGGUCUGUCGCGUCGGCUGUGAAAACCCGGGGCUCAACCCCGGGCCUGCAGUCGAUACGGGCAGACUAGAGUGCGGUAGGGGAGACUGGAAUUCCUGGUGUAGCGGUGAAAUGCGCAGAUAUCAGGAGGAACACCGGUGGCGAAGGCGGGUCUCUGGGCCGUAACUGACGCUGAGGAGCGAAAGCGUGGGGAGCGAACAGG